Molecule: ribosomal RNA, 414 nt
Filed under: Triticum aestivum (bread wheat)
Lineage: Eukaryota; Viridiplantae; Streptophyta; Magnoliopsida; Poales; Poaceae
Description: partial small subunit ribosomal RNA
Source: RNAcentral
AUGUUCAUAUAUCAUCACUGUACCACUUGGUAUACUACGAUCGUAAGCAUCCACGAGAUACACGUAUUUAUACGCGGUAUACUACGAUCUCACAGUCGCGGGAGCGCGCGCGCUAAAGUACCGCGAAAAACCUGCCCCAGCCACUCCUCCUCGCCUCCUCCUCCGCGGCCACCGCCGGCGGCGGCGGCGCAACCGGCGCCUCUCCGAUGCCCCAGAUCCCCUCGAGAACCUGGGCCAGGCUCGCCGGGACGCCGUAGGUGUCGGCCUCGGGCGCCGCGAGCACGGAGUCGAACACCUCCUGGAGGCCGACGACGCGUGGUGACGGGGAUCCGCACGGUUCUGGCGGGCUUGCGCGCGGCGGGGCCGGGGCCGGCUUCGCCGGCGGCGAAGAAGAACUGCGAGGCGGAGCUGUAG